RNAcentral lists this ribosomal RNA (794 nucleotides) under uncultured Neocallimastigales. RNAcentral describes it as "partial large subunit ribosomal RNA". It matches the Rfam family "Eukaryotic large subunit ribosomal RNA", at positions 26 to 629 of the family's 3401-position model. Lineage: Eukaryota; Fungi; Neocallimastigomycota; Neocallimastigomycetes; Neocallimastigales. The record is from RNAcentral.
CGUCUAUAUACGUAUAGCAUAUCAAUAAGCGGAGGAAAAGAAACUAACAAGGAUUCCCCUAGUAACGGCGAGUGAAGCGGGAAGAGCUCAAAUUUGAAAUCUUCAAGGGUUUCCCUUGACGAAUUGUAGUUUAAAGAAGUGUCUUCUGUUAGAGAGGUUUGGUAAAAGUUCUUUGGAAUAGGACAUCAUAGAGGGUGAGAAUCCCGUAUUUGAUCACUUAUUUCCUAACGCUUUGUGAUACACUUUCAAAGAGUCGGAUUGUUUGGGAAUGCAGUCCAAAAUGGGUGGUAAAUUUCAUCUAAAGCUAAAUAUUGGCGAGAGACCGAUAGCGAACAAGUACCGUGAGGGAAAGGUGAAAAGAACUUUGAAAAGAGAGUUAAACAGUACGUGAAAUUGUCAAAAGGGGAAGCGUUUGACACCAGUGUUGUUUUCUCGAAAAUCAAUUCAAAUGAUGGCUUGAUGCUAGGUUGUUAUGACUUUAUCAGCUUUACUGUCACUAGUUUUCUUGUCUUUGUUAAUGCACUUUUCGUUUAACAAGUCAACAUCAAUUUCUUUUGCUGUAAAAGAGGUAAUAGGAAGGUGGCUUUCAUCUUCGGAUUGAAAGUGUUUAUAGCCUUUUAGCCUCUGCAAGUCGGAGAGAUUGAGGUCUGCAGCGUAGACUCUUCGGGGUUAGAUACAUUUGUGCUAAGUUAUAGCUUUUCAUAGACAACAUGUUGACUAUGAUUAGGUCAUGUAGCUUACUCGCUUAUGGCUAUUUUACCUACGCUUAGGAUGUUGAUAUGCAUGACUGAUAU